RNAcentral lists this ribosomal RNA (253 nucleotides) under uncultured bacterium. RNAcentral describes it as "partial 16S ribosomal RNA". It matches the Rfam family "Bacterial small subunit ribosomal RNA", at positions 524 to 776 of the family's 1533-position model. The record is from RNAcentral.
UACGUAGGAGGCAAGCGUUGUCCGGAAUUGCUGGGCGUAAAGCGCGUGUAGGUGGUGGGACAAGUCUGCUGUGAAAGUGCCUGGCUUAACCGGGCGAGGUCGGCGGAAACUGUCCGACUCGAGGACGGUAGAGGGGGGUGGAAUUCCCGGUGUAGUGGUGAAAUGCGUAGAGAUCGGGAGGAACACCUGUGGCGAAGGCGGCCCCCUGGGCCGGCCCUGACACUGCGACGCGAAGGCGUGGGGAGCGAACGGG